UACGGGGGGGGCAAGCGUUGUUCGGAAUUACUGGGCGUAAAGGGCUCGUAGGGGGCCAACUAAGUCAGACGUGAAAUCCCCGGGCUUAACCUGGGAAUGGCGUUUGAAACUACGGAGCUGGAGUGUGGCAGAGGGAGGUAGAAUUCCACGUGUAGCGGUGAAAUGCGUAGAUAUGUGGAGGAAUACCGAUGGCGAAGGCAGCCUCCUGGGCCAACACUGACGCUCAUGCACGAAAGCGUGGGGAGCAAACAGG
Molecule: ribosomal RNA, 253 nt
Filed under: uncultured bacterium
Lineage: Bacteria
Description: partial 16S ribosomal RNA
Rfam family: Bacterial small subunit ribosomal RNA
Source: RNAcentral